AAAAAAGUCUACAUGUCCAUCUCGGCUCCAUACCAGCGCGGCCCAGGCCCAAGCACUCUCUGGUAUGGCCGGCCGCCUCACCGCGGGCGAGCGGCGGCGCGACGUUCUCCCACCCAUUCCCCUCGCUGCCAGAGCCGCCGUCGCCGUUUCUUGGGGACUCUCGCAGCAGCAGCGUGCGUGAUCCGUGUGGGAAAAGAUUCCUCCUCGUCCGCGGCCUCGGCUCAAGAAGACGCGCAGGCCCGGUGCUAGGUGCGCGCGCCGUUCUCGCGGAGUCGCCAGGCGGCGCGUCAUCGCCAGGCUGACGCUUCCGCGAUGCAGGAGGUCCUGAGACUUGACCGGGAAAAAAGAACCCCUCUUACGCAGGCUUGGUUUGUCAGUUGCCAUUUGUAACCGAGACAGGAUAGACAGGAGAUACAGGAAAAAGAAAUCAUCAAAUCACACUAGAAAAGAGUGCAGUGUUCAAAUAUAUGUGCUGUGAGAUGGGCAUCAGGUUUGGCUUGUUAGCUACCAUUCAUACCUGAGAUAAGACACAGGAACAGCAAAUCGCACUAGAAAAUAGUGCCAUGAUGUCUCUAGAGAUGGCCAUCAGUUACAUUUGUUGCUGCAAAGGACAAGCUUAGCAGAGCUGUUUUGUGGGGUUUUGUGAGGCAGCCAGGCUACAAUCUGAAGGUAAGUUCUACCUGGGGCAUGCAAUGUCAUUUAUUAGGAUUGCGAAAGGUGUUGGAAACACCUUUAAAAUUUACUGGACAUUGCCUUGAGCUUUUAAAACAAGUAAAAAAACAGCUCUGCUACGCGGGUCAUUUAUUAGAUGAAUUUUACUGGACAUUGCCUUGAGCUUUUAAAACAAGUAAAAAAAUUGUUAUUAAACUGAUUUUUCCAUGUUUUUCUUUUCCUAUGUGGAAUGGAAAUAUGUUUGCUCCACCAUUCGUAGAAAAUAUUCAUACUUUUAUCUAUCUCCUGUUAUAUAUCUUUUUAAGAGCGCCGUGUAGAACCAGAUUGUAGUCCUUGCAAGCAUGCCUACACGGAACUAACCAGAUCUGUAGUUCUUUGCAUGCUGCAAUGCCAUUCUCUGGUUGCUCAGAUUUCCUCGACCUACUUCGUAACUUAUAAAUGCAAUGUUCUGUUGUUGGUUCUGACGUCUUAGGUCAUAUGGCUGUUCUGUACAUUUUAGUGUGGCAGCUCAUAUGGUGGUGGGCAUGGCUGAAAUCUGAAGUAUUAAGGCGUGCAGAGGGUGGUGUAGUAAGAUGGUAACACGUGACCUUUGCGAGUCCAGUCUGACUUCCAUGUACGAAAACAACACCAGUCAGUCAGACCAUAAGGCAUGCCUAAUCUUAAACAACAUCAACAUUCCAUCUUUGUCAACGAAGAAAGAGCUAGCUAGUAGCUUCUUACAAAGGGCCAAUCAUGACAGGGACGAUCAUCUGUCAACAUGAAGAAUUGACCACGUAGCAACCUUCACCAUAAGAAAAACACAAACUUUAAUUUAUAUAUGUAUCCAAUAAAUUAAGUUUGCUACAUCCAGGCCAAUAUCCUUAGAACAAAAGCUUUAUUGUAUAAGCUGGAGGCCUGUAAGAGCUGAUCAGUACUCAAGAUACCAAAAGAGGAGGAAACUUGCGGAACUUGGGGAAGAAGAAGGGCUUCUUCUUGAUGAAGGGGAGGAGCUUCUUGAACUUCUCAGGGUCCGUCUCAGGGUUCUGGGUCUUCUGGUCGGCAGGAGGAUGGUAGAUCGGAGUAGGUGUCGGGUGUGAGUACUCUGGAGUGGGUGGCUUGUACGUCGGCAUGGGUGUUGGGUGGUACACCGGCACGUGCGUUGGCGGCUUGUACUCUGGCACCGGUUUCUUGGGGAUGUGAGGGAUCACGAUGGGUUUCUUGGGGAUGUGAGGGAUCACGAUGGGCUUCUUGUGGAAGAGGUGCUUCUUGUGGGAAGGGUCGCAGAGGAAUGCCGAGGCGCACUCUUUGGACGAGUAGUGCAUUUUGCCAGCGACUGCAAUGAAGGUCUUCUUCUUGUCGUUGUCGCUGGAUGGCUGGACGAUCCAGGAUGGCUCCUGCCCAGGGCAUGGCUGAUUGGCCGUGCUGUGGAGCUGUGCGAAACAGUCCUGCUUCAGCUCGCCGUCCUCACGGAGGAGGUCAGCCGCGAGGGGGACGCUGAAGGUGCCAGACUUGUCAACCUUGCCGACGGCCUUGGUUUCGAACACACCGUGGGCGUCCUUGCAUUUGACUGCCACUUGAAGGCCUGAAGAAACGAAGGCAGCAUUGUCAGGUAACCUUCCGAACAAGCUUCUGAAAACUCAAGAAGUUGCCUAGCAAAAUGGCAUAGUUGGAGCAUAAGAACGUACCCUUGAAGACAGCCUCAGCUUUCAUGUUCUUCCUGGUGCAGUCGGCGCACUUGGCCAAGCCGACGACCAUGGAGGCCGCCUCACCCGCAGCAGCAUCGGCGAACACUGCUGCUAACAGGACGGCGCAGACACCGACAAGCAGGCCUCGAGACAGAGCCCCCAUUGUGGAAGCUUGGCUGGUUCUUGCGUGUUCACAAGUGGUUGUCAAGACUCAACUAGGUAAGCACUGGAUGGAUGGAGAUCAAGGAGAGCCCUUGGCCGGUUUAUAUAGGGUUCCAGGUGACUGAGCUCAACCGAAGCAUUUGGCAGAAGUUAAGUGAAACCAGUGAUCAAGGAGCUACCAAAAUCUGGCACCGGCUUUGCAGAUUUGGGAGUUAAUGCCGUUCCAAGUUGAUCAUCCUCUGUCUGAUCCACAGAUCUACCUGGCUACCAGGCUAACCACAUCUUUGUGUGUUAACCUCCACGCAUGCAGAGAUCAACAACAAUUGGCUGCAUUUAAGGAACAAUUAUUGUUGACUUUUGUUGGAAUUUUUGCUAUAGUUGUCACUUGUAGUAGAUUGUGACUAGAUGAAAUGGGUGUAGCUUAGCAUCUGGAGCAUAGGAAUUUUGGUCCAACGAUCACCUGAAUAUGUGAUGGAUGGUACCUACUUUUUGUAGGCUUGCCAAGAUAGGGAAAAGUGUUGUUAUCUUCA
Phragmites australis (common reed) is the source of this 3028-nucleotide long non-coding RNA. RefSeq lists it as uncharacterized. The transcript is spliced from 6 exons. NCBI's taxonomy places the organism in Eukaryota, Viridiplantae, Streptophyta, Magnoliopsida, Poales, Poaceae. The record is from RefSeq and is a predicted model, not a curated record.